UACGUAGGGGGCAAGCGUUGUCCGGAUUUAUUGGGCGUAAAGAGCUCGUAGGUGGUUCGGUAAGUCAGGUGUGAAACCUCCAGGCUCAACCUGGAGACGCCACUUGAUACUGCUGUGACUGGAGUCCGGUAGGGGAGCGUGGAAUUCCUGGUGUAGCGGUGAAAUGCGCAGAUAUCAGGAGGAACACCAGCGGCGAAGGCGGCGCUCUGGGCCGGUACUGACGCUGAGGCACGAAAGCGUGGGGAGCAAACAGG
Molecule: ribosomal RNA, 254 nt
Filed under: uncultured bacterium
Lineage: Bacteria
Description: partial 16S ribosomal RNA
Rfam family: Bacterial small subunit ribosomal RNA
Source: RNAcentral